Molecule: ribosomal RNA, 498 nt
Filed under: Triphoturus mexicanus (Mexican lampfish)
Lineage: Eukaryota; Metazoa; Chordata; Actinopteri; Myctophiformes; Myctophidae
Description: partial 16S ribosomal RNA
Rfam family: Bacterial large subunit ribosomal RNA
Source: RNAcentral
CAAUCACUUGUCUCUUAAAUGGAGACCUGUAUGAAAGGCAUCACGAGGGCUUAACUGUCUCCCCUUUAAAGUCAAUGAAAUUGAUCUCCCCGUGCAGAAGCGGGGAUACACUCGUAAGACGAGAAGACCCUAUGGAGCUUAAGAUACAAGGCGACUCAUGUCAAUCACCCGCUAAAGGAAAUGAACAAGAUGAACUCCGCUGGAAUGUCUUCGGUUGGGGCGACCGCGGGGAAAUACAAAACCCCCACAUGGACCAGGGUUACUACAACCCUAAAACCUAGACCCACAGGUCAAAUCAACAGUAUUUCUGACCAUCAAAGAUCCGGCAAUGCCGAUCGACGGACCAAGUUACCCUAGGGAUAACAGCGCAAUCCCCUCCUAGAGCCCUUAUCAACGAGGGGGUUUACGACCUCGAUGUUGGAUCAGGACAUCCUAAUGGUGCAGCCGCUAUUCAGGGUUCGUUUGUUCAACGAUUAACAGUCCUACGUGAUCUGAGUC